RNAcentral lists this ribosomal RNA (402 nucleotides) under uncultured Adlercreutzia sp. RNAcentral's name for it is "bacterial SSU rRNA". It matches the Rfam family "Bacterial small subunit ribosomal RNA", at positions 355 to 774 of the family's 1533-position model. Lineage: Bacteria; Bacillati; Actinomycetota; Coriobacteriia; Eggerthellales; Eggerthellaceae. The record is from RNAcentral.
UGGGGAAUAUUGCGCAAUGGGGGCAACCCUGACGCAGCAACGCCGCGUGCGGGACGAAGGCCUUCGGGUUGUAAACCGCUUUCAGCAGGGAAGAACCAUGACGGUACCUGCAGAAGAAGCCCCGGCUAACUACGUGCCAGCAGCCGCGGUAAUACGUAGGGGGCGAGCGUUAUCCGGAUUCAUUGGGCGUAAAGCGCGCGUAGGCGGCCCGCUAAGCGGGACCUCUAACCUGGGGGCUCAACCUCCAGCCGGGUCCCGAACUGGCGAGCUCGAGUGCGGUAGGGGCAGGCGGAAUUCCCGGUGUAGCGGUGGAAUGCGCAGAUAUCGGGAAGAACACCGAUGGCGAAGGCAGCCUGCUGGGCCGACACUGACGCUGAGGCGCGAAAGCUAGGGGAGCGAACA